This 18079-nucleotide long non-coding RNA is filed under the name Cinara cedri. Lineage: Eukaryota; Metazoa; Arthropoda; Insecta; Hemiptera; Aphididae. The record is from RNAcentral.
CCCGAACACGCGCGUUUCCAUUUCCCGGUCUUACGGGCUUAGGAUGACUGCAGUCGGCCCCAGAAGUAACGGCGGAAAACGUGCGCAAAACGAAGUCGUUUCCGGUACGUAUCUUGAAUAACAACAAUAAUAAUAAUUAAAAACAAAAAGCUGUCUUAGAAUAACGAUGGGAACGGGUGCGGAGAAGGAUAUAGGGUGUGAAACGUACAAUGAAUUAAAGCGGAAAGCGGAAAAUCGCGAAGAACGAACCUAACCUGCCAACCAACCCCAUGAGCUGUUAACGGGAAGAAGAUAUUGUUGUUUUUAUUGUCACGAUUUAAAAUUUUUAUUUUUAUCGAUUCUCAAUGUUUUGAUCGAAAUGUACAAAAUGUUAUUAAUAUUGGCGCAAGUGAUACUACUUUAUCAAACAAUAUCUUUAGCACUUUUGUCAUACGUUGGGUACGACUUUAAAUAGGCGCCUACGUCCUACUAAUUUUGGCGCAAAUAAUGCGUAAUUUUUACACGUUCCGCGCUCACGCCGUGUGGCAAUAUUAUUUCCGCGAUUACACAAUCGAAAAUCCGUCGAGUCCCGAGGACGCGUCCCGGCAAUAUCCGCCGUUUCUAUAGGAUUUAUAGGUAAGUGCACGCGGCCGGAACGACGGUGCCGACGAAUGCGUUCGCGUCGCUCUUAUACUGUGUCCGUCAAUUAUGUUAUAACUUGUCUAACUAAUCAGGGCUUAUAACUUUAAACGUUUGCAUUUUUUUUUUUUUUUUUCUCAGCGAUCUUAAAGAUACUUUCGUGAGCUAGAAUAAAUUUGUUUCGCGAAGCUAUGCGCGAAAGUUUGUGUGGCAUAUUUCGCAGUUUACGUGCCGUUUUCCCCGUUUUGUACAUGCUUAGCGCUAUUACAAUACACCGCAGGCUUCAAAGUGUAUACUUGACGACGAGAAUAAUUCGUACGGUCUAGGACAUGUCCAUUCGUUUCUAUUAGCCGGACGCUUCGACCCGUGACAGACGGUUAUCGUAUCGAUAACCGCCGCAAUCGUAUCGCGUGCAUUUGUAUUUUUAUUUUUUCAUAACACACAGUGUCUAGAUAUCCGGUAUCGUUUUUGUUAUUGUUAUUUUCUCGUUUUUAAACGCUUGUUUACAUGUUUUCGAGUGCGUAUUAUCGCGCCCAUAACAGCCAUUUUUUAGAGCUACAAGUUACGAGCCCUGACAACUGCAUGUAGAUAUGCGUCCCGGUCGAGAAAAAUACGAAUUACAUUAUCGCGGUGUCGUCUUAUGUGCGCGGUGCCGUCAAACGAUAUGGGCUAACGAAAACCACACGCUAUACACGUCCACAUCGAAUACUCGUGCGUUUUACUAUCGCCGUGUUGUGACUUAAGUCGCUCGGAAACAAGACGAAAUAUACCGCGACUGCGGUGGCGUACCAAGGAUUUCGCCGGGGAGGGAGUCGUUUCCAUCCGUCGGAAACCCCGACGUCGUAAAUCAUAAUGUCACGUCGUAAAACGCGUGUCUUUGUUGGGUGAAACAAAACAGAAAACCGUCAACUUUAAAUUUAUUUCCGUGAGCAAUUUAUUUGCCCUGCAAUCAUCAAAACACUACUACAGGUAUUGCUGCGUUAGUACCUAAUCAUUGUUAUUUAGUUUGUUUACUGUAUUGUGGUACAAUAUUUGAUAUCCUCCGUGUUAAAGCGGUUCGGAUGGAUUUCGUUUUAAACGAGGGAAUGUCGGCAUACAUGGUGUUUUUAAUAACUAAAACCAUACGAUUGGAUAUCAAUUACACGCUUUUGAUUCUUUCCGAUUGAAAAGUAAAGGAAAUUGACUUUAAAAAUAUAUAUUUUCGGAUAAAAUGACAAAGGGGGGAGAUAUUUCUCCCUAGCCUUCUUCCUCAAACACGCCACUGUAUACUUAUAAUAUUAUAGCUGGCUAGGUCGAAAGCGGGUAGGAAAAAAACGGGGGUUUUUUUUUUUUUCAAAAACCAAAGAGUUACGCACGAUAACAUUCGAAAAAACAUUAUUUUAGAGAUCGUCGAAAGUGUAAAAAGCGAUUACGAUGAUAUGAGCAGGACAUCGGGUGUAAAGAGAAGCCCAAACCUACUGCGACUAAACGGGCGGUGCUGAAACAGAGUUCAGUGCGAAAAGGGCCUUUAGGAACGCGGGAAUAGUGAAUAAGCGGACGCUUUAAAGGGUGGCGGAUCGAAUUAGGUUUUCGUGGGCGAUUUUGGCAAACGUUAAAUUCAAGUAAUAACAACAAUGACAAUGAUUUCAAAGAAUAAAGAAAUGCAGCGUGUAGGUUAAAAAGUGAAUUCCGCGGAUUACAUUAUUACGUGGCGAGUCGUGGGAACCGCUCUCGUUUUCGGUUGAAAACUCCGGACGAUGCGUUUUUGUUUUUUUUAUUAUUAUUUUGCUAACCUUCCGAUUUCGCGUUGCAAUAAUACUACACGCCGACGAGACGCCGCGCGAUUUCAUCACGCAUUAAUAUUAUACCACGAUAUCGUUUUAUACGCGUGUAGACAAUAAACGAACAGUGAGGACACAUACCCACGCUAACCGCAAGAGAUGCUGGAUUAGGUUAGGUCAGUAAUGGCGGCCGACUGAGCCCGAUUUAUAAUCGACAAUGGUUAUGAUAAAACCGAUUGUUGAACGUGCGCGUUCCUAGCUUGUCCGCGAUUAAUAUACACGCUUUCGCGAAAUCGUACAGAAAUAGAUUAAUCUGUUCUGGUGGCAAAGUCCGUGGUGUUCCGACAACGGUCGUUUAUUGCGAGCUGUUAUCGUCGAAUUUCGAUUCCGAAAUAACGAAACACACGGCGUUCGCGGAGAGGGGAACGAAAAUCGCCCCAGUCUCUCUCGUCUUUCGUGAACCGAAAUAUCGUUACGCCGCGUCCUAGAGUUCGUCUACGGUUAUACGACGGACUAUUUCUAAUACCAUCGGUUUUAUAUAUCCCGUUACCGUUCUGUAAUCAAUAAUCAAGACCGGGGGCCGUUUCGGCUCGACGCCCCCGACCGUGGACGUAGGUACGCAAAUAUUAUAUCUGUGUGUCGGGUUCGGCGGCGUUAAUCCGUCACAAGGAGAAGUGGCGAGACGUGGGAUUUCGACGCGUCUUACGUUUGGCCGUUUUGUCGCGAUUUCGCUUCGUGUGUUUCGCAAAUGAAAAUAAGCCGUUUUUUUACUCGACGGUUUUUCAACAAUUUUAGAUUUCGAGCGCGGCGAAGGGAGCUAUUGAUUUUACUAAGAUGUUUAUUUCUUAUUUUUCUUCUUUUUUUUUUUUUGAUCAAGUCGUGGACACGUUUUUUUUUUUUUUUUUUUUAGUAAUUAGCUCCCGAUUUUUACGUGUAGCAAUUUUUCUGACAUUUUUUUUUUUUGAUUUUUGACGCCGUUUCCAAACAAAAGUACUUAGGUGGGAGAAAACGUAAUAAAACUUACAAUUUUACGAUUUUAUUAUUUUAUAAAAAAACACGGACGACGUUUUCUACCAGAAAAAAUGAUUUAAUCGAAAAAUCACAAGACUUCUUUUUUGUUGCCUUUUUGAUUUACUUUCUAACGGCGCCAUUGCUAAAACUUUUGAGCUUUUAAAUAAUUUUAAUUUUUGGGAGUAGUUUUUUGUUGUAACUCGGUUAUAAAUACACGUAGAGACUUGAAACUUGGUAAUAAUACUAAUAUUGGACUUACCUUAACGUGAUAAAAUUUUAAAAAUCAUCGGAUGACUCCGAUGAUUUUGAUUUUUUUUACUAAGCAUUUUGAAAUAAAAUUUUAACGAAAAUCGCAAAAGUCAUGUAUUAACAAACUACUCUCGGAAUCGUCUUUCGUCAAGCAAUGGUUAUCGUUUCAUACAGAUAUAAAUGAAAUAACCUUAUGUAUCCUACCUUUACAACUUCUCACCUAUAACAGUGGCCGCUCCCAUCUCCAGUAUCAGCUAUUUUUUUUAUUUUGAAGUCGGUUUUUUUAAAAAAAUUUUUAGUUUCAUUAUUUUGGAUUUUUAAAACAUUUUUGGGAAAUUUAUUGCGCAUUAUGAUAUUUCCGAUCCUAAUUAUAAUACAAUCCGUAUGUAUUAUUAUUCAUAACGUAUUCGGCUACAUAAAAAUUAUAUUAAAAUCGAUUUUUGAUGUAUCACGGUAAAUUAUAAUAUUGAUCUCUUCGUAUUUCUCUUCGAAUUGAUUUUCGCUAAUAAUCUGGUACAAUAAUAUAGAGAAAAAAACGCAUUAAAAGAAAAAAACCGUUCUAGGAUAACGGAGACGAGUGCAGUCACUGAUUUGUGUAAGAAGUCGGGAAAGUAGGAUAGGAUACAGAAGGGAAUUUAAUGUAUAUCUGUACGAAACGAUCAACCGUUGCUAACGAAAGCGGAUUCUGAGCGGAGUUUGGCUAACAGUGUUGCUUUUUCAACAAUAUACAUGUCAUAUUAUUGCAAAAUAAUUAAAUAGACAUUACAUAUUUUUUUCAAUAAUAUUUGUUUCAUAUUGUAACGAUUUUCCUGUUUUUCCUCCGUUUCUUCUCAUUUACUAAAAAAACUUUUGGGAACAUCAUAAAAAUGACCUGCUUAAUGUAACGCCCCGGGAAAAUUACCUUUCAGAAAACGGUCAAAUAUCGUAUACAUCGGAAUAAUCUAUCCGGUAGAAUGAGUGUUCGCAUAAAAAUACAAAUAAAACAUCUUUUUUUAAAACCAAUACAUUCUUCGCUACACUCUGAAUCUAAAAACAAAGUGUUCAAUUUAACUGAAUGUAAUAUAUCGUGUUAGUACCUAAAUAGGUACGUUCCGCACUAUUCGCGUUCACGAGCAUUUCACUGAUUCCGUUUGAAAAUAUAACACGUCCGUAUAUCGAUUUUUAAAUAACAUAAACUUUGAAAAGAAAAAAAAAAUACGUCGGAAAUACCUAUAUUAUACAGAAGGUUGUUUAUUUUAACGUGUGCGUGUGUAAAAUAUUCUUGCCAGUCGACUAUUAUAACAUGGAAAAUAUAUUUAUUUUACCGACUCGACUAAAAACUAUAAUAUAGCGUAGGUAUAACUACGCAUACAAUACCGGCUAACAGCUCUUCGUGCAAACGACGCGAAUGUUCCUCGUCGCGUUUUUUUUUUUUUUCGUUUUUAAUUCUGAAGGGGGUAAUUUAGUAAAAAAAAAAUUAAAUAACAAAAAAAAAAAAAAACAACUAAUAGGUAUCAUAGAAACCACGACGGAAAUAACCGAAACGCGUGUUAUUAUCGACGAUACGGGUUCGCGUUUGGGACUUGAUGGCGGAUAGGGCUGUUGCGGGGAACUGGAAAUUUAAGGGCACCUACACGAAAGAGCGUGUCGGAAUAAAAGUAACGAGCGAAAAAAAAAACAAAAAAAAACAACAUAUGCAAUUUCAGUCAGGGUUCAAUAAAUCUUUAGUUUUAGAUUCCGAGUAGACCGAAGAAUACAUUGGUUUUACUAAGAUGUUUAUUUUAUUUUUUUUUUUUUUAAACACUUUUUCUACCAGAAAGCUUACUCCAAUGUAUACUAUGCAAAUCCUCUUCGGAAAAUUGAUUUUCUUGGGGUGGUGCUUUGAGGAGGUUAAUUUUCGAUUUUCUCGGGAGUUUUCUCAAUAAAUUUGAAAAACCGAAAAAAAACCCGAGAAAAACGGAAACACGUACGUAAUAUAUUAGUAAAAUCUUGUGUAUUUUUUUUUCUGUGGACACGUUUUCCACCAGCAAUUUCGUUCCGAUUCACAAUGGUAGCGUUUUUUCGAAAACGAAAUUUUAUUGUGGAGAUACUUCAGGGAGGUCGUUCUUUUUUACCGAUACCCGUGCAAAAACCGAGAAAACACACGGGAAAACCGGGAAAAACGUAAGAAAUACGGGAAAAUCGGUACAAUAUUGAACAAAUAUUAUUAAAGAAAAUAUGUAAUACUUGUUCAGCUAUUUCACCAAAAUAUGACGCGUAAAUAUAUUGUCGACAAAUCAUCACCGUCAACCGGACUCGGCUCAGAAUGUUUUUAAUAAGCAACGGUUUAUCGCUGCUAACAGAUACAAAUCAACGUCCCCUCUAUAUCCUACCAUCCCGAUUUUUCACCAACAACUGUGGCUGCGCCCGUCACCAUUAUCCUAGGACAUUUUUUUUUUUUUUUUUCCACUCGUCGAUAUAGAACCGCCCGACGAUCAUAUAAAAUGCAAUACGAACGUUGCGUCGACCGUACCGAUAUUAUUCAAACGCACGGAAAUAUUAUUAUCGUAACAUACUUUUUCGUCACAGAACGCGUUUCGUACACGUUUUUAACGCUUUUUUAAUCCAUGAUGUACACGAAAUAAUACGAGUGUGUUUUCGAAACGUGAACCCGUCCGCAGCUCUAACAACGAUAAUCAUAUUUUGUGUAUUGUAUAAUCUUGUAUAUUAUAGUACAGCGACCAUUGUUGAUUUUCUGGUUUUUUUUUUUUCGCCGCGCAUUCAUUAUUUCGUUUUUUCCCCUGUCCGACGUGUUUCGGUUAUAUGCAAAUGCAUAUAGGCCCGUGUGCAGCGGCAACUAUCAUCUGCUUGAAGAAUUAUUUAUUUUUUUUUCAACCCGAAAAUCGGUUACCCCCCUUUUUUUUUUACGUUAACGACGACGACGACUACGAUGACGGCCACGACUACGACAAAGAGACGUUUAACAACACAGGGGUCGGAGUUCUUUUUUUUUACUUUUUUUUUUUUUUUUUAUUCGGUAUUAUUAAUUUUCUUUUGUUUCUUCGGCUUUUUUUUUUUUUUUUUGCGUUAUAAUUAUUAUUAUUUAUUAUUAUUUUUUUUUUCGUGUAUAUAUAUAUAAUUGCGCUCAGUGGGAAACGCUUUUAUAUGGUCUAACACCUCAAAAAAAAAAAAAAAAAAAUCCUAUUCACCCUUGUCAGUGUCAAAAGUCGUGAUAGGUUUUUUUCGGUUCCUAGACGCAUGCGGCUGCUGCCGCAGUGAAUAACGCACGCUGCACACACUAUAUACACUAAAUCACCCUUUGAAUAUUUGAAUAGUUAAAAAAAAACUUCGUCAAAGCUGGGGUUUUUUUUUUAUUUUUUUUUUUCGUCGCCGGGAACGAAUUAAUUUUUUGAUAAAUUAAAUUUUUUUUUUUUAUUAUUGUUAUUCACUCUUUACUCUUCCCCGAUGAUAUGACGAUCUGGGUUUUUUUUUUUGCCCGAUGUCUUUCUAGCGGAAAAAAAAUUCAGUAAAAAACACUACAAUCAAAUAUUUCAUUAUGAUAUUGUGUAAUAAGCAAUAUAUAAUAGAACUGGCGCGUGUGACUCUUCGACAACAGCAGCAGCAGCGGCAGCUGUACAGCGUGAUCAGAUAAUUAAACGCGCGACACAAUAUGGCCAAUACGGUUUUUUUUUUUUUUUAUUUUUAAUUUUUUAUAAGGCUGUGCAUAAUAUUAUAAUAUAUUGGACACGACUGCGACGGCAACGACGAUUACGAUGUGUGGCGUUGCAUUGUUUUUCUAUGAACGCUGCGAAACCGUUUCAAGGGCUCACGACGCAGGCUCCCGCGAUGGGGCGUUUUUUUUUCUUUUGUGAGGCGAUUUUUUUUUUCCAAACUGCAUUACGUGUAUAUACCUACCUACUCGUACGUUAAAACAAAAGGCUGAAAAGACCUUUUGUACGGAACGUAUUUUAUACGCUUGGCAGAAAAAAAAAAAAAAAACAUGCUUAACGGUCACGACGAUCAAUAAAAUAUCGUAUGUUAUUAAUAGUUAUACAAUAUACGAAUUUUAAUCACGAGCAAAUCAUUGUCGACGCGAUAACGUGACAAAGGACAAUUUUUCAUAAAAAAAAAAUAAAAAAAAUAUUUAGUCUCCAUUCUAGAACAGGGGAAGACUGAAAAUUGUAUUUAUUUUUAUAACGGCGAGUAUUACGAAUACGUAUAAUAUGCACGAAAAAACAAAGUCGAAAACAAUUGCAACAACCAAUAAUGAAGAGUGUUUUACACCGGUGAAACUGCAGAUUAAAUCCAAACUCUCAACAAGAAAGUCCGAGAAAAGGCGAAUUACGGUCAGUCCCGUGUGAACUAAACGUGGUCGGUACAAAAGGCGACGUGGGAACGUCGAUGAUCUUUGAAAGGAAAAUAUUCCGACGCAUCUUGACGGUCCUUUUGUGAGAACUGGAGGAACACCGAACAGUAGCAAACGAGGAUGUGACCAAUUUAUAGCGAAACGAUGAUGAGAUAUUAUGCAAAUUAAGACCAGAAAAAUCAAAUGGAAAACACCUAUAGAGGUCGUCCCGGCCGAAAGCGUGCGCGAAUAAAGAAAACUGACGUGAAAUAGUACAGGAUGUAGCGAUGGCUCUGAAUGUAUAAUAAAAAAAAAAGACUGACGUAUUUCGCAUGUAGGUGCAGACAAGUGUUGUAGGUGGGAAGUCGGGAAGGUAGGAUAUAGAAAGUAAUUUAAUGUAUAUCUGUAAGCAACGAUAAACCAUUGCUAACGGAAAAACGCUUCUGAACGGAGUUCAAUUAAUAGGGAUGUUUUGUCAACGAUAUUUAUACGUAAUAUUAUUGUGAAAUAAUUAAACAGGCAUCAUAUAUUUUCUCUAACAAUAUUUGUUUAAUAUUGUACCGAUUUUCCUACGUGUUUCCCGGUUUUCAAAUGGUUUUUUUUUUCAGUUUUUACCAUUUAUCGGAAACACUCGUGGGAAAAUCGAAAAAAAACUACCUACUUAAAGUACCGCCUCAAGAAAAUUUUCUUUCGGAAUAAAAAAAAGUAAAAAGGAAUAUAAUUAUUAAUGAACAAAAACAUUAUUUUGUUACGACGACUGAUCAAUUUUAACCGAAUAAAAUACAAAUUACACCUGUACUCUGAUAUUAUAAAUUAAUUUAUGGAAUCCGUAAGUGUUUUAUUCGCAACGGAGAUCACUCUUAAAAAUGAAAUGUGCCGUCAUCGAUAACGCGUCCAUCAAAAGUAAAUUAUGGAGUUUCGAGAGUUAUAAUCUUUGUGUACGGUUAUUCUAAAAAUAGACUCGCGAUAAUUAGCCGACUCACGGAUAACAAACUAUAAAACUUACGUUUCGUUCGGUUAAAACGUAUUAAAAUGGGAACUACGUUCACGCGUGCAUCUCGACGCGGUGGUGGCUUAUGCGACGGAGGGAUUUCGUGGCGAUCGCAUUUCUGUCGAUAAAUUUGUAAUUUACUUUUUAAACCGUAGGUUUUUAUGGCCACAUAAUAUAAACUAUGAACGUGGCAUUUUGUUUUUACGUUGAAUCAAAUAGACAAUUGUAAAAAUUGGCCAAUUAACGGCGUGAUCAGUUUAUUUAACAAAAUAUCAAGCCGUAAAACUGUUAUUGCGUAACAGGCAUAAAUUAACUAAAAGAGAAAAAUAUAUCCGAGUACGUAUUCUGAAAAUUUUUUGCUCGUUUAUUCGAUUAAGGUGUUCGAGUAUUCCGAAUAAAAAAUUAACUAUCCGUCUUUCAAGAGUGCCGACGGUGAACGAACGCACAGUAAUAAACCGAACACAUUUUGAACCAUCUCUUCUCGCCGAAAUUCGAUUUCAGUUACGGUCUUGUAAGUUUCGAGUACCCGAGAUUCCAGUGCAUCCCGCUCCGUUAAUGAUCUCAGAUCCGCCGAUCUCCCGACAACCGCCGUGACGUUGUGAAUAUGCAAAAACCUCGCCGUGGGCCGUCCUAAAGACGCGUGCACGCGUGACCGCGAAUACCGCAGUUAUCGGUUACCGUUACCGGGAACCGACUACUAUCGCCGAUUUCGUCACGACUUAAAACGCGACCUACUCGCUAGCGUAUAGAACGAACGUAUUUGCACGGAGGAAGGUCAACCGGAAAGUGGUGUUUUCGCGGAGAAGUCGACGAAAACGCGACAGACGCGUACAUAUACGUCUUAUUUUUCGCAAGCGACUUUUACUCGUACAAUUUUUUUCUCGAAACACAAACGGCAUAUGGUCCCGACCGUUAUUUCGAAAACAAUAUUUCCAACGAACUACGAAAACAGCCGUUCUGUUACACCGCGAUACCGAAAGGAAUGCCGUCGGUAGCACGCAGACUCUCAAGGCCCAAAACAGCAACCGCCCACAGCCUCCGCUAUAUCCUACAAUAUUAUUGGCGGCAGUUUUCGCGUUCCCGGCUUCCGUUAACCGUAAGCCUACUUGUGUAAGUCUACCCUGUCCGUCUGACCCCCGGCCACCGGAUCCCUGAUUAUAGCGUUCGUUCUCCGUGUAGUUGUUUUCGAAUUCUUUCGUUUCCCCGUGUUCCGCGUUCUCCGUCAACGGGUCUUGUCGGACCGUACGUUUCUCUCGAUGUCUUUUAUCCAAAGCUUUUGGCUUUGUGUCGUCCGAAUCCGUAGCGACCGUUCGAGCACCGCGCGCGUCAAUAGGCGCCGGUCUUAGAUACGAACUGUGUGACAUCGACCCGAUUAAGCGACCCGUCGUUUCGUCUCCUCGCGGGCGCCGUUGACGUUCUCGCUGCCCCCGUAAAUACUCGAAAUUAGUUAGCCUCUCACACCGCGUACGUAUAAAUGGUCUACUCGUACAAUACACGGUACCGGGCACAAUUGUCUUGUUGCACGCGAAACGCCGCACAAACUCGGGGUUCUGAGUUCUGUGUAUCGCUUGUGCCCGCGACGGAAAUCGCCGUAUCUGUUCUAUUACCGACGGGUGAACGGUCGGUUUUCCGGGGCGACGACAGGCGACAUACGCAGAUCGGAGAUUGAAAUUCGGAAGAGGCGAGAUAGGCGAGCGGUCGGCCGGCCGGCGGCGGUGUGAUAUCGCGCGGGGAAAAGACGGACGGCGGGCAGGCGAGGCGGACGAGGCGGGGAUUGAAACGUAGGCCGAGUAAUACGCAGGCCGUAGGCCGGGCGACGGUCGGGCCGCCGAGUUCGCCUCCCGUGUUGUGCGCGCGGAGACGCGGGGAAAAAAACGGACCGCGGAACGAGGUCGGUGAGGGGAUUGGGGGGGGGGGGAAAUGGAAAAAACGACUCGACGCUAAACCGAGGCGGCGGCGCAGACUGGAUAGCGGUUCGGGUUUUUUUUUAUUUUUUUUCCCCCGUUUUAUCGCAUUACGUUAUCUGACGUAGGCGGUAUUCCUACUGCCCGUACGGUGAAAAAUUUAUCGCGCGCGUUCGGUUUCGGGGCCGGGCCCCCGGAGGGUCAAAGCUGUCGAAAUUCCGACGAACCGGUCCGCCGCACGAAAACCGCGCGGGCAUAUAAAAAUAUAUUGUGUUUAUUGUGCCGCGCCGCACCUGUACGCGCGCGCCGCCGACUCGCAUCCGUCUUGGAAACGUUAGCGGGACCCGGCCGUAUUAUUUUCACCGGCGGCGGCCGCGCGACGUCCGCCACCGCGUGCACGAGGUAUACGAGAAGACCUGGGUGGAGGGAGUAGUGAGUAGGGGGCGGUGGGGGGGGGGGGGGGGGGGNNNNNNNNNGGGGGGGCGGGGGGAAAUUACUCGUAUGGGAAAAAAAAAAAAUAGUAAUAAUAAAAAAUAUAAUACCCGUGUAAUACGCGCGCGCGCUCGCUGCACGAGUCUCCUCGCGUCCCGUGUCUCGCCGCCGCCGUUCGAUUCGGAUUUCUUUCGAAAACCGGUCCUGCCGCUGCCCGCGCCCCGCUCCCUUCCGCCCGUCCCGUCGCCGGUCUCUAACCCGCGGCGCGACCGCCGCAGUCCCGGGCCACGACGCACUCGCGUCAUCGUCGCGCCGUAUACUGCGGGGCCGCCGGUUAUAAAAAUAUUAAAUUAUCGUAGGCAGGUAGGCAGGUAGGUAGGCGGGCGGGUGGGUAUAGGUAUAGGUACGGACGGACGGACGGACGGACGGACGGACAGGCAGCAGCAGGUAAGAUGUACGCGCGGGAGUUUGUUGAACCCGGCCGGGCCCGCGUUUUCAAACGAAAUUCCCCAACCCUUUUCCCCUUUCCACACCGCUCCUCGCCCCCACCUCCUCCCCCCCCCUCUCGCUCGCCGGCGCGGUAAGGUACGGACGGACGCGGGGACGCCGGGUUAGAAUAAUAAUGUUGCGCGAGGAGCGUGCGCGUGUCUUUCUCCGUCCGCGCUCUCCGGCUCGCUCGCGCGCCUCGUAUACAGGCCGAUCGCUUUAACGCCGCGUUAGACAACAAUCGUUAUUUGAGUAAAUUUGCCGCCUAGCCCAGUACAGCGCGGCGCGUGUAUUUCGAGGCCACGUUAUUGAAGACGUUAAGAGGACGUUCAGACGCCCGUUUAGCUACUGCAGUCUCGGCCCGGCUCCGUGUCGGACAAUACAGACAAUUUUUCCGGGAGGGGCAUCACCGACCGUAUUUCUGGGUGGGCAAACGAAAUUUCCAGGGAAGGCAGUGGCCCCUCCCCCUCCAUGUUAUACGCCCGGAUUCAACACCGGUCCGACUGCCGGGUAUUAAACGCGCGAAAACAAUGCUCACGCGGAAUAAGUAAAACUUAUAUAGUUCGAUUUCGAUUUUAGAGUAAACCCAGGUACCUGUAUUAUUGUGAAAUCGUAUAGAGAACAAUAAAUUUCGGAGGGAAUUUGAUAGGGUUUUUAUUGUACUACUGAAAACAUAAAAGAAACGAACACCUGUCUUUCUUUUUUUAAAUAACUGUAACUUUUUUAAUUGUAUUCAUAGAACACCUACGACAUUCUCUUCGAAAUACUGUUCCCAAUACAUUUCACAAUUGGUACUUGCACUCUAAAAUCAAAACUAAUACGCCAGUUUUACUCGUUUUGCGCGUUACCCGGUAUGGUUGGACCGAGACAGUAGACGCGGGUAUAACGUCCUCGUUGACGAAUAUUAUUUAGUACGGCGCGCCUGAAAGCGAAUGAAUAGAAUUCCCGAGCGUUUCGGCCACGUGUUCGUUACAAAAUUGAAAUCCCACAGAAAUCCCUGUAUCCCGUUCGGAUGUCACGCGUGCGCGGCAGUUCGUCCGCGUGUAUACGAUACACUUUCGUCCGACAAACGAACCCGUGGAAAUCGGUUCGGUAGAACUGCUCGUACCGUAGAAAUAGCUCCGCCGGAUUACUCGCGUUUGAUUGCAAUAUCGGAGGCUACACUCGUCCGCAACCGAAAUCUCAGGGUGUUUGAAAAACAUCGCGGUGGCUGUUUGAAAACCGCACGUCGCGCGUACGGUUCACUGUACUGCGUAGGUGAUUCUGUAAAAUAUUCCCGAUAUCCGUGUACCCGCGGAACGGGAUUGUUCGCGCGCCGGAAGAAUCCAUCCGCAAUCGAUUUCGAUGAAUCUCCGGUUCACUUUGAAAUAUUAAAUAAUCGACCCGCGCGACGGGCACGGCACGUACGCCGCGGCGUAUUCGCGUCGUUCGCUCCGGCCGCUCGAAUAAUUUAAGCGGACCCGGAGAACGGGAGGACCGGUCGGAGUCGGAGAAUCGCGACGGAUUUGGAACUUGCACUGUUUCUCUCCGCGGGAUCGCAGUCCUGUCGGUUUUACGGUGGCCCGCGCUUUCGUUUACUUCCGAUAAAUCUCGACCGUCGACUUUGGCGGCGGUGUUUCCGGUAGCGAAUUUCAUCCGGUCGGUGCGCCGGGCAUGUCUAUUGUUUAAUGAUUUUAGUUUCUUAUCAUAGUUAUUAUUUUUUUUUACCGUUUGUUUUACGCGGUUAACAAUAUUAUUCUACACGUACCUACGCGCUCACAAAUACUGUUACAAAAUUAAAUCGCGCAACACCGUGUACAACAGCCGUCGUCGGGUUAGCGAAACGGCUUAGAGGGCGUGAUUGACGCGCGCGCGUUCGCCGUCUUGCGAACGGACCACUCGGGAAAUUUUCGUUUGCCGAGGACGACGUUGCGCCGUUAGUUUCGAUAUUUAAUCGAAUUUAUUGCAUGUGGUCGCACUUAACGGCCGGGACAACGUCGGCGCUGUUUUUCCGAUGUUUUCGUUUUCGAGAACGAUAUGCCUGUGAUACACGACUGACCGCUUAUACCGCUCUCGCGCGCGCGGCAAAAGGUUUUGCCCGUCGAUCGCAUUUCACAACGAUAACGAUUCAAUCGACGUAUUCGUUUUUUUAAUUUUGUCUAUCGAAUCAAUUCCAAGCGGGUAGGAUUCGACAGAAUUCGAUAUUAUUAUACCGAUCGUAUUUCGCACGAAACUGGAAUGGUUAAAGACGGCGUAAAGGAAAACCGCACUCGGGGCUAAAUUAACGAGACUCGUUUCCAUUUCGGACGCGAACAAACGCAAUCGAGUACGUACUGUUGCCGUAUCGAAUGUUCACGCGCCGGAGCUGCGGUUUAUACACGCGUACGUAUUUCCGCCAGCGUAUUGCGUAGGCGUAUGAUUGUCGAUUACAAUGCAAUUCGAACGUUUUCGUCAAAAUGGAUAACGGACAACGGUCGUACGAUUGUGCGCGCUUUGGUUCGCGGUGAACAAAAUCGAAACGAGUUGCGCGGACCGUCCACUGUUGUUGAUCGCGUCUACGGCUUUAUCGACGAAACCCCCGGCAACCCCGGACCGUAGACGUUUUCCGUUCUGCCGCGGCGAACACUCGCGGCCCGGUAUCCGCUACUCGUACGGUUAUCCGCGGCGGCGCGCCGGGUACGGGCCGGACCAGAUCGAAACGGCGAAAAUCCAAUUAUCGCCGCGUGCGCGUACCCGCGGAGACCUACGCCGCGGCAAUGUCGCAAGCGAUGGCGUAUCGGGGGGACGGGAGGGGGGGGCGGGGGUAGCGGGAGGGGGUAUCGUCGACGACGGCGACGGUGAUAAUAAUACGCGCCCGUAGAGGGUACCACCGCGUCGCCUACACAAUAUACGCGAUGCGCAAUAACAUAAUAACGGGGCACACGGUAAAAAAAAAAAAAGCGAAAAUCGUUUUCUGUCGCCGCCGUCCGAUUUUAUUAUCGUUAUUAUUAUUAUUGUGUAUUCGCGCACGCCCUCGUUAUUAUCGUAUAAUACUGUACCCCGUGCCCGCCUGCCCGUCCGCCCGUCCGCCCGUACGCACGUGCGUUGUACGUAACGCGUGUAAUACGCGCUCGCCCGGGUCGAGGUAUGAAUUACCGAACAACAACGGCGGCGACAGCGGCGAAAACGCGACCCCCGACUGAAAAAAAAAAAUAAUAAUAAUAAUAAUAAUAAAAAAAAUAAAUAACAAUAAUAAUAGACGAUCCGUGAUGCCGAUAGUCCGUCGCCGACAACGGUAAUAACACUUCACGACGCCUACCUGUAAUAAGGCGGCGCGCGAUGUUUAAAAAAAAAAAAAAAAAAAAAAAAAAAAAAAACGNNNNNNNNNNNNNNNNNNNNNNNNNNNNNNNNNNNNNNNNNNNNNNNNNNNNNNNNNNNNNGGGGGGGGGGGGGGGGUGGAUCGGACGUUCCGACGGAUUCCCUGCGAGUUGCCGGCCGGCCCCGGGUCGCACUCGCACGACGCGUGACCGCCCGGUGACGGCGCUUAGCGCUCAGUAAGCAGUGGCGAUAAGGGAAAUUCGUUCGCGUCGUCGCAGUGUCACGCGGCGUUAACGGAUUCCGAAUGCCGUCGGUUCACGUUGACGGUUUCGAUUAACGUUUGACCGGGCGUAAAACAUCGAAACCCCGCGGGGCUAGUAAUUAUUAAUUUUGUACGUAAUAAUCUUCUUCUUCUUCUUCUUCCGUGACUCCGGCCUCCGAGACCGCGUCGUCCAACGGAUUCGUCUCCGCGUCUCCCUGUCUAAGGCCAACUCCUCACAAUCCGAUCCCGGUCUCGCUUUCUCCGCGUCCUCUUCGGUCUUGUCUGCCCAGCGUGACCUCGGCCUUCGCAAAAGCGGUCGUUUUCCUUCCCUCCAGACUUCCGAAUACUCCGAAUUCUCGUUAUCGUCUCGUGACGGUCGUACUGUCCCUAUUAUGACCCAGCCUACUGUCUGCGGUUAAAACGAUGUUAACUACAUAAGAAAAUAACCCGCCCGGUGGUUAUAGUUUUCGCCGAACGCUAUUGGAGCUAAUUCUAGUUGAGUUUUCAAACGCACCAUCGGGAAACGUAUUAACGCGCUCAACUCAAACGAGCCACAAACGCAAAUGGAAUCCUCCGAUUGGCUUUUUGAUCGGCUCAACGCGAACUCAACGUAUCGAUAACACGAUUUUAAGGCGAGCUUUACGUCGCCGUUGGUCCGAACCGGAUACGCCGCGUAAAACCUCGAAAUUCGGCCCCUCUGAUUCGGCUACUUUUUUUUAUCUUUUUUUUUUUAUUAUUUAAAAAAACUAUACAAUUUUUAAUAGUUUUAAUUUUAUACAAUACAUAACAUAUAUGUUUUUCUUAAUUACUAUCGUACAAGUUUUCUCGCUUCUCCAGUCAACGGUAUAUAUUCUACGACACGAUCAUGAAUGAAAAUACGGUACAGCUGUAUUUGCACCUUUUAAAUUUUCAGAGGCCAAAUUAAUAUUGACUGGAGAAGCUUUUACUGAAACAUUCUGUUUCGAAAUAUCAACAACAACAAUCGGUCGCCUUUCCAAAAACUGCGUAGGACUUAACACAGAACUUCGCACUACAUUUCCAUAGUAAUACUCUUGGAACGGUGCAUGCAUAUCACAUGAUAAAGAGUAAUUUUUCUUACUAAAAUCUAAAUUCAAAUACGGAUACGUAACAGAAUUAAAAUAUACUCGUUCACGUUUUGUUAAAUUACAAUGCUCGAAUUUACCAUAAUCUUCGGUGUUUUUCUGUAAACGAAUUAUUUACCUAUCUCUCGAUUGUUUCUUUAGCUAACGUACGCGUUACACGGGUUUCACUACCGAUAACAAAGGAGAAUCUAACCGUAAAUAAAACCGUUCAAAUCGCUACGAAAAUCAUUAGAGUCUUUCAUCUUCUAAACAAAGUAUCACUGUUACUCAUCGGUUUUUACGGCAUAACAAAAUAUAUCACAAAGUGCGUACGGUGAGCAAACUGAUUUCACAGACAACACCGGUGAUAUGAGUUUGUUAUUUGUAGUUUACUAUUUUUCAACAUAAUAACUCGUAUUAUUUUUAGAGUGAUACAAACAUGUUUGCCCAAGUGUUUGGUCACGAAAACAGAACCUAAAAAAAACUAUGACUAAAAUUAAACAGACAAAAGACACUAAAAAAUUAAACAAGCAUUCGAACAUUCUCGAAAGGUUAAAAAAAAAAUAUACAUUUUUAAUUGCAUAGAAUAUAUUAAUAUUUUAUUAUUAUAUUUUAGACGAAUAAUUUCCAUGAAAAUUUAAUCCGAAAAGCUGAUGAUGCGUCUUCUAAACAGAUUAGCACGGAUCGAAAUUCGCAAUACAUUGAAUUUGGAACUCGAAACCACGUCUGGAAAAAGCCUGUCUCCAAUAAAGUAACUGACUACUGGGCAAUCCAUCAUUGUAAGACGAAAGACAUGGAAGAGGUUGCGUCUAACGAGCAGUAAUUUUGGAUUUGUCGAGGAUUUUAAAAAGAUUUGCAAUAAUUGGUUUUUCGGAAAAAUACCAAAGAUUACAGUAAAUUCGAGCAUUGUAAGUAUUGAGAGUAUAUUUGAAUUCUGUUAUGUAUCCGUAUAACGAUUUGAAUUUAGAUUUCAGAAAAAACAAACUACUACGGUAUUGUACCGGCUGAUUCAUUUAAGUGGGUACACUCGUUAUUUCGGAAACUAUUGAUUCUUUUCGGGAUUCGUUUUCUAAAACGUUCAAGAAACAAGCGGCUCUACAAUUUUAUAUUUAUGUUAUUUUUCGUUACCCUUAUUUUCGGGGGUACCCACUUAUGAUUUUCAAAUGGCAGCCUAUUUUAAAAAGUCAACACUGAAAUUUAUUUUAACUAACACUCCGUCUGUUUAUCGACUUUUUGAUAUAGGUCGCUAUUUGAAAAUCAUUGGCAAGUAGUGGUUUUACCCCCCGAAAUAAGGGCGAUGGAUGUAAAUAUAAAAUUGUAGAGCUGCUUGUUUCUCGAAUGUUCUAGAAAACAAAUUUCGAAAAAAAUCAACGCUUUCCUAGAUAACGAGUGUGCCCACGAAUUAAACGAAUUGCUCGGGUAUGAUAUGUAUGCAUCGUUCCAAGAGUCUUACUCCGAAAACGAAGUGCGAAGUCCUAUAUGAAGUCCUACGCAGUUUUUGGAACGGGAACCGAUUGUUGUUAUUGAUAUUUCGAAACACAAUGGUUCAGCAACAGCUUCUUCAGUCAAUAUAAAUUUGGAAUAGAAGCCUCUAAAUAUUUAAAAGACGCAAUUUUACUGUAUUUUCAUUCACGAUUGUGCUGUAUAAUUCAUACCAUUGACUAUAAAAGAGUAAAAAAAACUUAUAUGAUAGUAUUUAAGUAAA